GGUUGGAUCAUUAAAGAAUUAUGAUGUGUUGGCGCCGCCUAAAAAACGGCGCCCUCACAUUCAUAUCCACCUCUUUGUGUAACGUUUCCCGUAUUUUGGCGGUCCACAAACCAUGGGCGUCAGACACUUGUGUCUUUCCCUUGGACCGCCAGCCACCAAACAACACCUUACAAUUUUUUGUGACUUUGAAAGCCUUUCUUAGGUUUCUAAAAUUUGAAAACAACUUUUGACAACGGAUCUCUUGGCUCUCGCAACGAUGAAGAACGCAGCGAAUUGCGAUAUGUGAUGUGAAUUGCAGAAUUCAGUGAAUCAUCAAAUCUUUGAACGCACAUUGCGCUCCAUGGUAUUCCGUGGAGCAUGCUUGUUUGAGAACCGUGAUCACCUCUCAAUCCCCAUCUCAUCCGAAAGGGUGUGGAGAAAGGAAUUGGACUUUGAGCGUUCUGUCAUAAUUAAAUGGCAGUUGUCUCCAAAUGUAUCGCCUUUGGUUUCCAACGAAAGUUGGAGUGAAACGAGGUCUAUUCUGUCGCAAAGACGUGAUGAGCAUGAUCUCCUUGUGAGGUUUGUGUUAGCGUCGACAUAAAAGCUUCAGAUGUAAGAUGGCUUCAAAUCCCUCUGUGGCGUUGUGCAUCUCCUCGCGAGGUCACCCUGUUGGUGUGUUGUCAAGGACUUGUCUUUGGUGACCGCUUCAACUUGUAACCCCUGAACAAUGGUCUCAAAUCAAGCAAGAGGACCCGCUGAACUUAAGCAUAUCAAUAAGCGGAGGAAAAGAAACCAACUGGGAUUCCCGUAGUAACGGCGAGUGAAGCGGGAACAGCUCAAAUUUGAAAUCUCACUGUUUCGCAGUGCGAAUUGUAGUUUCAAGAAGCACUUUCGGGAGCGGACUGGGCCCAAGUCCAUUGGAACAUGGUGCCAGAGAGGGUGAGAGCCCCGUUCGGUCCGGUUAUCGCUCCUGUGUGAUGUGUCUUCAAAGAGUCGGAUAGUUUGGGAAUGCUGUCCAAAGUGGGUGGUAAAUAUCAUCCAAGGCUAAAUAUUGGCGAGAGACCGAUAGCGAACAAGUACCGUGAGGGAAAGAUGAAAAGAACUUUGAAAAGAGAGUUAAACAGUACGUGAAAUUGUCAAAAGGGAAGCGCUUGAUACCAGUGUCGCGGCUCUCAAAUCAGUCGCCCGUUGCGGGCGGUGCACUUUGGGGGUUGUGGGUCAGCGUCGAUUUGGUUUGGGGUAAAAUGACGUCGGAAGGUAGUCCCUCGUGGAUGUUAUAGCUGACGUUGCUGCCCUGGACUGGAUCGAGGAACGCAGCCGCGCUAUGAGGUGUCGUUUGGCUCUGUGAUGUCUCUGGCCAAACUGCUUGCAGAUUGUGUUGGGGGUUAAGCUGAAUCCUUUCGUUCAUCAAACACGGCUUCGGACGCUGACAAAAUGGUCUCAAACGACCCGUCUUGAAACACGGACCAAGGAGUCCAACAAACACGCGAGUGUUUGGGUGGCAAACCCGAACGCGAAAUGAAAGUGAAUGCAGGUGGGAUCCUGCGAGGGUGCACCAUCGACCGGUCUGGAUUUUUUUGAAAGAUCUGAGUAAGAGCGUGUUUGCUGGGACCCGAAAGAUGGUGAACUAUGCCUGAGCAGGGUGAAGCCAGAGGAAACUCUGGUGGAAGCUCGUAGGGGUUCUGACGUGCAAAUCGAUCUUAAGACUUGGGUAUAGGGGCGAAAGACUAAUCGAACCAUCUAGUAGCUGGUUCCCUC
Molecule: unclassified non-coding RNA, 1737 nt
Filed under: uncultured fungus
Lineage: Eukaryota; Fungi
Description: sequence contains 18S rRNA gene, ITS1, 5.8S rRNA gene, ITS2, 28S rRNA gene
Rfam family: Eukaryotic large subunit ribosomal RNA (bases 708-1737)
Source: RNAcentral